AACGCACCUUGCGCUCUUUAGUUAUUCUGAAGAGCAUGCUUGUUUGAGUGUCGCGAACCCCUCAACCCCGCCCAAGGCUUAAUUGACUUGCGGUUGUUUGGGCUUGGAUCAUGGUCUCUUGUCGUUACCUUCGGGUUUGGACUGGACUGAAAUACAACAAGUUGAAUGGUUUCCAUUUGCAGCUUGACCUGAUGUUGUAAACUACUCAUCGGGGAUGCAAUGAAGCUAAGGGAACUUUAACAGAACCCCUAAAUGGUACCUAGUACAUUUAUGACCUCAAAUCAAGUAGGACUACCCGCUGAACUUAA
RNAcentral lists this unclassified non-coding RNA (308 nucleotides) under uncultured fungus. RNAcentral's name for it is "partial contains 5.8S ribosomal RNA, internal transcribed spacer 2, and large subunit ribosomal RNA". Lineage: Eukaryota; Fungi. The record is from RNAcentral.